UAGGCCUAAAGGAAGCAAAAUGAUGAACAUUAACAUCUUAAAAUGUUUACCUCUCAAUUGGAUGUGAUUUACAGUACAGUCUGGCACAGAUGGGUAACUAGGAUCGUUGCUUUUAUCCUACAGACUGCCCAUCGUUUUAAAACUGAUAAUUGUGCAUUUGACUUCUCAAAUGAUCACAUGUACAAGCAAUACAUGUCGAUAGUUUCACUUUUAAAACGUGUGUGUUGAUUAUCAGACUUAUCAAGAGUGUUGUCAGAGCAAUGUAUUCGUACCUUGUUAAUUCCACUGGAAAGACGCUCUCAUUCAACCCACCGAGAACCGAAGCACUUUGGGCCAUGGUUGUCUGUAAAAUAUAAAAUAAGUUUGUUAUUAUAAUAGUAUAUGCCUUAUUAAAAUUGCAAUUUUCAAUAUUACAUAUUCAAAUGAAAAAAAUAUUACAUUUAGACCUACUACUUGAAAUUAAAUCAUAAUAUUUAAUACAGUGACAUAAUACAGUAUUAAAUAUUGUAAUGUAAUAUAUUCUGUUUAGAAAUAGGUGGACAGGAUAAAUAAAACGAGACUUAACAUUUGUAAAAACUGAUUGUGUGCAUUUCAGUGGAAAACACACAUUAACACACUAUGACAUUGUGAACUCACUAUGUUAUUCUGUUGAUACAAAAGAAAAGUAGAACCUUACCUUUGAGAGAUUUCAAGAUAUGAUGUCGGUAGUAAUCCUAGAUUGAUCCCAUUGGUUAUUAAAUGUUCACCUCCAAAUAGCAAAAAAAUUACAAUUGCCAGCUAUAUUGUUCUUAAGAGACGAGGAGGCUAUAUUUUUUGUUGCAAAGCUUCCUGAGGACGCUUUCAAAUAUAUAGAACCACAAGUCGGUUGAGAGGUUUAAAAAAAGAAAAAAAAUACGAUGUCAUGCAGCAAAUGCACGCUGCUCAAGACUCAAGCAGUGUCGCACAUUGCUUUGUGACAAUUCAAGUGUUGUGGUGGCUCUUCCUUGACAACAAUUUUCCAGAUGACACAUUUCUGCUCCGGCUUGAAGUCAAAUAUUUUUCGCUUUUGGAUGAAGUGUUAACCCUUCACUCCCUUAAAUGUGGUGACGUAUUUCAGUAUGUUAUAACAUGUUUUCAAAAACCAUUUAAAUACAAAUGAUCAAAAAUGAAACAAGUCAACAACAGCUGUAAUUAUCAAACAUUUCCUUUAUAAACAAUACUUCUUUAAACAAUUAUCUUCUGGCUUUUGCCAGAGUACAUGAUGAAUCUUUUCUGCCCUAAUGUAUGUCAAGACAAUAUUCAAAGUACCACUGUACUUUCCUGCCCUUUAUGAUGAACUUUCAUGAUAAUCAUAAAGUGAGUCAUCUGUGAGUGAUUUCUGCACCAAAGCAGAGACUGCAGAAAUUUAAAUAUCUGGAGUAAGAUUAUAUCCAAUUGCUAUAGAUAUCGUGAAAUAAAUUGGUGAUACACA
Long non-coding RNA from Syngnathus acus (greater pipefish), 1450 nucleotides. RefSeq lists it as uncharacterized. NCBI's taxonomy places the organism in Eukaryota, Metazoa, Chordata, Actinopteri, Syngnathiformes, Syngnathidae. The transcript is spliced from 3 exons. The record is from RefSeq and is a predicted model, not a curated record.